AACUGUGGUACCUCAACU
This 18-nucleotide ribosomal RNA is filed under the name Rhododendron smirnowii. RNAcentral's name for it is "partial 28S ribosomal RNA". Lineage: Eukaryota; Viridiplantae; Streptophyta; Magnoliopsida; Ericales; Ericaceae. The record is from RNAcentral.